Molecule: long non-coding RNA, 209 nt
Organism: Notothenia coriiceps (black rockcod)
Lineage: Eukaryota; Metazoa; Chordata; Actinopteri; Perciformes; Nototheniidae
Exons: 2
Source: RefSeq, a predicted model, not a curated record
UAUCUAAGCAACUCUACCCCGUUACCCUCUACAAGGCCAUAGACCAGCAGAGGGAAAAUGGGGGGUGGGUAAGGGUAAAGGUUUUUAAGAAUAAACCGCAAGGCAUUGCAGUAAUCCAGUCUCGAGGUAACAAAGGCGUUAAUAACCCUUUCUAGUUCUUUAAAAGAUAAAAAUGACUUGGUCUUAGCCAAUAGUCGUAUUUUGAAAAA